AGAUUGAACGCUAGCGGGAUGCUUUACGCAUGCAAGUCGAACGGCAGCGCGGACUUCGGUCUGGCGGCGAGUGGCGAACGGGUGAGUAAUAUAUCGGAACGUGCCCAGUAGCGGGGGAUAACUACGCGAAAGCGUGGCUAAUACCGCAUACGCCCUACGGGGGAAAGGGGGGAUUCUUCGGAACCUCUCACUAUUGGAGCGGCCGAUAUCAGAUUAGCUAGUUGGUGAGGUAAAGGCUCACCAAGGCGACGAUCUGUAGCUGGUUUGAGAGGACGACCAGCCACACUGGGACUGAGACACGGCCCAGACUCCGUACGGGAGGCAGCGAGUGGGGAAUUUUGGACAAGUGGGGGAAACCUGAUCCAGCCAUCCCGCGUGUG
Molecule: ribosomal RNA, 380 nt
Filed under: uncultured soil bacterium
Lineage: Bacteria
Description: bacterial SSU rRNA
Rfam family: Bacterial small subunit ribosomal RNA
Source: RNAcentral